GGGGAGGAGCCGGUUUUACCCGGAGGCGCGGGUCCUGCGGUCGGUGCCGCGCCGGUCACCCAGGCCCUGGGACCGCUGCCAGGGAGCGCGGCGGGGCGGCCAGGUGGCCGCGCGGGGUCUCCGAGCCGAUAGAGGCCGAGCGUGGGGAGCCUGCAGGGGUGAUCGGCGUGGCCGCGCACUGGGCCGUAGCGGUCUGAGGGAUCCGGGCUUCUGGGCGCUGAAACAGGUCCCUGGCGGAGGGGCCCAGACCCUGAGCUUGGGCACCCAUGGGCCAGGCAGCUGCCUAGUACUCGCCGCACGCCGGGCAGUGAGGGUCCGCGGCGCUCUGUGGGCCACCUUGUGGAGUCACGGGGCGAUCACUGCCUACCUGGCUGCCGGGAGGAGCCCAGGCCCCAAGCCCGGAGACACACUCACUGUCCCAGAUUCCUUCUGGGACUGGGAGCAGGCCGAGGCCAGAAACUGAAGCGCAGACAGGGAAGUGAGCCUCUUCACCUCCCUUAUGCUGGAGGACAGGGUGAGGGCACAGGAGCAUCUCAGGGCCACAGUGAUCUGGCUUUUCUGCAGGUGAAGCAUGGAGCCCAGCUAUGGAAUUCCGAGACAUAAUUCCAUUUUGGCCUCCAGUCACAAUUGAGACCUCAAUGAUCGGGUGAUGCUGUGAUUCUCCAGGACAAGAAACAUCCUGGGAGCUGAAAACAUCCUGGGAGCUGAAAACAUCCUGGGAGGAACAAACAUCUACUCAGUUCCUCCUUGUUCUUGGAUUGUUACAUCUUGUUUACCCGGAAGUACUGAACUCUCUGCAAGUCAUUUGUUACAUUUGUUUCUCCCAAUGUACUGAAUAAAAUGUGCG
Heterocephalus glaber (naked mole-rat) is the source of this 847-nucleotide long non-coding RNA. NCBI's taxonomy places the organism in Eukaryota, Metazoa, Chordata, Mammalia, Rodentia, Bathyergidae. The record is from Ensembl.